UAUUAAUUCAUUUUGAUACACAGUGGAAAUGUUUUAUGCAUACUUCCCACUCAUCACUAAAACAUAAUUGUAAUCAGUAAUUGAGAUUUUUUUCUGGGUACCAGGGAUUGAACUUGGUAGCACUCAACUACUAAGCCACAUCCCCAGCCCUACAUCUGUAUUUUAUUCAGAGACAGGGUUUCACUGAGCACUUAGCGCCUUGUUUUUAACUGAGGCUAUCUUUGAACUCAGGCUCUUCUGCCUCAGCCUCCCAAGGUGCUGUGCAGUGAUUAAGAUAUAUGAAAUUAGUAAAUUUUAUUGCAUCAUGAAGAAUAUUCUUAAGAGACACCCCCGCGUGAUGUCACCAACACAAAUAAACUCAUAAAGGUGAAAAAUAUCAUGACCAAAGUUUGAUGUCUCUAGCUUGAUUCAUGGGUAGUAAUGACACCCUUGCUCCUGCAUUGUCAGGGCAAAUGCCAACCUAACUAACUGAUAAAUACAGUCUUACUGACAUUAUGAAGGCAGUUUUGAUCUCUUAGAUUCCCCAAAAAUGUCUUAAGCCAGGAGUUUCCAUAGAAGCUUCUUCAAGUAUAGUGGGUAAGAUUAUCAUUAAUAGUCCAAUGUACUGUGGUUGAUUGUGGAGAAGAUUGCUACUUCAAUGAAAAAAAAAAUGGCAAGAAAAGAGAAUACAUACUUUAAAUAUAACUACUUUUAGUAUGGGCUGAAUGCUAUCUUUUGCCCUUACAGAUUUACUCUCAUCUCUGCUCAGUGCCUUUAUGGGGUGAUCUUCAUGGACUAUGUCACUAAGCUCCUGGAUCACUGGCUACGAGUGGAUUUGGCCAGUAGAAUCACAGGGAGGAGAUGAGGGGGCAAAGGGUAAAUGUAUCAGAGCAUUUAUUCUUCACUGCUUUCAUGCAAGGCAACUGAUUGACCAACACUUCAUUUCUCUCUCAGGGACCAAAUAUUACUAUCCUGGCUAUUAUUCAGAGAGUUAAGAAAAAUAAUACCUUUUUAUCAUUACUCCUUCCUGAUGUUUCAAAUUAUUUUUAUUUAUUUUCCACAUAUAUCAUAAGCUUUGUGGAUGGAUAAUGAUAAUUGUGUUUACAAAAGUUAAUUAUAUUGGUUGAGGUCUUGAAACUAUCACAUGGUGACAUUGUGUCUUCUCUUCUUCACUGAUCACUGGAUUUAUAGCCCACACUAAAACCCAAAUGAUCUCAUCUCAAAAUCCUUAACUUAAUUACCUCUAAAAAAGUCCAUACUUACAAAUUCAUAUGGGCAUCUUUUGGGGGCCACUUUUAUCUUUCUAUAAUGGCCCUAAAAAUCACAGGAUGAUCACCUCCAUUCUUGCUUCAUCCUGUCCCUGUCUCUUUACCUGGGUCUGCCCCAGCCAGGCUGCCAGUCUCCUCCUGCUUCUGGAACAUAUUUUGGAAGUUUUUGCCUCUGGAGCUUUUCCCGGGUGCUUGCCUCUGCCUGGAACACUCUGCUGACAGCCUGGACUUCACUCCUUCACUUGCUUCUAGUGUUUGCUCCAAGCUCACUACCCCCAACAAAUUUGUUUCAAAUUGAAACGCUGCUAGAACUCCAUCCUCUACUCCAGCAUCACACCUGAAACCCCAGUGGCUUUAUAUCUUCCAUAACAUUUUGCACCCUCCAAAAUACAAUAAAUUACAGCUCAUGUUUUCUGUAUGCAACAGCCCACAGGAAUGUGGACUACAGACAGAGAUCCUGGUCCGGAGUGUUCACUGAUGCAUCCUGACAAAGCAAUUUUGUUCAAAGCAAAGAUUGUAUAAUAUGCUAUCUCUGUCAUAGUAUCCUUGUUGGUAAUGAAAUAUAUGUGGCAUCUGCUAUCAAAGUAAAAUCUCUCUAUCUGAUUUUCCAAAAAAAAUUUCUGUAUUAAUUCACAAAUAAUUUACUGAAACUAUGAAGGCA
Molecule: long non-coding RNA, 1908 nt
Filed under: Marmota monax (woodchuck)
Lineage: Eukaryota; Metazoa; Chordata; Mammalia; Rodentia; Sciuridae
Source: RNAcentral